UAAUCGUACGUAGCCAUCAAAAUUACCCUUUUAAGAAACUUCUGACCGCCGACACUCACUAACCUAACAACAAAGUCAUCGCCUCCUUCCUUUGAUCCUCUCCCUCCCAAAACCCCCAAUUUCUCUUCCUUCUCUGUAAUUCAUCCAAUUUUCUGCUAUGGCGACGAUUCCACACAACAAUCUUAAUGCUAAAUUGGUACUUCUUGGUGAUAUGGGAGCUGGAAAAUCCAGCGUCGUUCUUCGUUUCGUCAAAGGUCAAUUUCUCGAAUUUCAGGAAUCAACUAUUGGAGCCGCCUUUUUCUCGCAGACAUUAGCAGUGAAUGAUGCCACAGUUAAGUUUGAGAUAUGGGAUACUGCUGGUCAAGAGAGAUACCAUAGUUUAGCACCUAUGUAUUAUAGAGGCGCUGCUGCUGCAAUUAUCGUCUUUGACAUUACGAAUUCGGAGUCUUUUUCUCGUGCUAAGAAGUGGGUACAGGAACUUCAGAAGCAAGGAAAUCCCAACAUGGUCAUGGCACUUGCAGGAAAUAAAGCUGAUUUGGAAGAAAGGAGGAUGGUUUCAGCUGAAGAGGCAUGUAAGUACGCUGAAGAGAAUGGCCUUUUCUUUAUGGAAACAUCAGCAAAAACAGCUCAGAAUGUUAAUGAAAUAUUCUAUGAAAUAGCUAAAAGAUUACCAAGAGCUCAACCGCCCCAGAAUCCAGCUGGAAUGGUUCUGGUUGACCGGCAGGGAGAAGGGGCCAAAGCUUCAUCAUGCUGUUCUUAGGCAUUCAGCACAGAGCCUUAGCCCUUAAUUCAUGUACGUUGGUCAUACCAUAAGGAACAGGCGUGUUUCAGGAUUUCCGAAAGGCGUCAUUUUAUCUGUGUCUUUAUUUGUAAAUAGGUGUGGACUUUGUUUUUUUUACUAAACUUGUUUUUAUUGUUACCGCAAAAAAUUAUUAUUAUUAUCAAAAUUAUUGUUAUUAUUCCCGUUUUUAUAUCUCAAUAGAUAACUCGUUAACGA
This is an RNA transcript of Amaranthus tricolor (Joseph's coat), 997 nucleotides long. It is a transcript of the gene named ras-related protein RHN1-like, with no coding region annotated. The record is from RefSeq and is a predicted model, not a curated record. The transcript is spliced from 8 exons. Lineage: Eukaryota; Viridiplantae; Streptophyta; Magnoliopsida; Caryophyllales; Amaranthaceae.